CGAGUAGGCGGCCUUCUAAGUCAGACGUGAAAUCCCCCGGCUUAACCUGGGAACUGCGUCUGAUACUGGGAGGCUUGAGUAUGGGAGAGGGAGGUAGAAUUCCAGGUGUAGCGGUGAAAUGCGUAGAUAUCUGGAGGAAUACCGGUGGCGAAGGCGGCCUCCUGGACCAUAACUGACGCUGAUCCGCGAAAGCUAGGGGAGCAAACG
RNAcentral lists this ribosomal RNA (207 nucleotides) under uncultured bacterium. Its description in RNAcentral is "partial 16S ribosomal RNA". It matches the Rfam family "Bacterial small subunit ribosomal RNA", at positions 568 to 774 of the family's 1533-position model. The record is from RNAcentral.